CUACACAGAGCACACCGUCCCCACCCCACCAUCUCAACUCCUCCGCGCCCCAACCACACCCCACUGCCGCGCCCUCCACCGAGACCCCUGCGAGCACCCAACAAGGCUUCAAAGCAUGGGCCAUCGCCCCUAAGCACUCCGUCGGCGACCAUCGUACAGAGACCCCAAGCACUCUGCCAGCGACCAUCCUCCUCCGCCGUCGUCCCUCACCACCAUCCUCCUCUGCAGAUGUCCUCUCCCGAGCAGGCCCUCCGCACAAGCUCAACCGAGCACCAAGGAGGUCCUCAAGUGGCACCGCCUCCUUAUUGAGCUCCUCUGGCAGCUGCACCUUCUCCACCGGCCACACCUCCAUUAGAGAUUGGCAAGGAGCCUCCAGAACAUUGUCUCCUCUAGGUAGCACCUCAUCUACCUCCUUGCCCGAAGCAGCGCUGCCUCCCCUCUAAUUCCUUGCCUGAGUAGUGCCGUGUAGGUCCUCUGCUUCAUCGCCAGAGCAGCACCACAUCCUCUGCUUCUUAAUCAACGGCAAUUAUAGUGGAACUGGUCAAGAAUGGACAAGAGUUGGAUGGAUAAAGCUAGAAACACACAAGCAUAUAUUGACGGGGUAGUGAAACACACAAGCAAGAGGAAAUGUUAUAUUAUGUCCUUGUAAAAAAUGCUUCAAUUGUUGCUGGUGUGAAGCUAGUGCUGUCUAUGAAGACUUGUUAUGUUAUGGGUUUAUUAGUGGGUACAAAAGAUGGAUAUAUCAUGGGGAGUUGCAAUCACACAAAAAAUUCAUCAGAAAGGAAAGGAUGUGAUAUUUUAUAAUGUUUAUCGAGACAAUGCUAGCCCAGUGGCAAAAGCAAUCAUUCUAUCAAUUGAUCGGAGAAAGUUGGUAGGUGGUCAGGAGCUUGGCCUUGAAUAUUGUGAGGUUGUCGUGAACUAUGUAAUAAAAAGGGAUGCUAUACUACCUCGUGGUAUUGGGAACAUGAACACCAUGGGGCAAGCUCAAGGGCGGUGCAUCGCAUAGCCAUACAAGCAUUUGGAAGUGGACAAGCCCAUGGCAAAAGCAGGAACAACAAGCAAGCUGAGGAGAUGGAAGAUUUCUGUAUGUGCACUUCAAACAAUCCCUGCUUGAUCUAAUGAUGUAACAUUGCUUGUUGUGAUGAUGAAGUGUUGUACAUUUACAAGAAUUCUAUUUAUGCCGACUAGUUAAACUGCAGCAUGUUGUUACUUAAAAAAAAUCUGAAAUGAGAGUUACAUUUCGAAUUUCCUGUCUGUUACAGGUUUCACUACAGAAGUUGAUGGAGAUUAGGAAGAUCUUGAAGCUGCUGAAGAUUUGGAAGACCGAUGAUUAAGUUGGAGGAGUGAUGAUGUAAUAUGCUUUGUUUGUUGAACCUGGACAGUUGCUCUGUUCAUUUUGCUGGUUAAGCCCCUAUAUGCUCAUUUUGGUUGUGUGGCACUCCCAGAAACAUAUGUACUUUCUCCUUUUGUGGCAAUACUUUAGUUUGGUUGUGGAACAUUUAACAUAUAUGUACUGUAUCUUUUGUGGCAGAACCUCCUUAUAUAUAUUAUGUUUAUCGGAUGAA
Non-coding RNA from Triticum urartu, 1565 nucleotides. The record is from RefSeq and is a predicted model, not a curated record. NCBI's taxonomy places the organism in Eukaryota, Viridiplantae, Streptophyta, Magnoliopsida, Poales, Poaceae.